AUUUAUAUAUGCGCACCCUCCUUGAGUGUUACAUAUAAUUGCAUCCCACUAAAAUGGGGGAUUUGCCACCUGGUUUUCGCUUCUACCCUACAGAAGAAGAGCUUGUCUCAUUCUAUCUCCAUAACAAGCUUGAAGGCAGGAGGCCUGACCUCAACCUAGUCAUGGACAGAAUUAUACCAGUUCUUGAUAUAUAUGAGUUCAAUCCCUGGCAACUCCCACAAUAUGCUGGAGAUCUAUCGAAUAGAGACCCAGAGCAAUGGUUUUUCUUCAUUCCAAGGCAAGAGAGCGAAGCUCGAGGAGGAAGACCAAAGAGGCUUACAACUGCGGGAUACUGGAAAGCUACGGGAUCUCCUGGUCAUGUUUAUUCUAACAAUCGCACCAUCGGCAUGAAAAGAACCAUGGUUUUCUAUAGGGGAAGGGCUCCUAAUGGACGCAAAACCGAUUGGAAAAUGAACGAGUACAAAGCUAUUCAAGGAGAAUCAUCUUCUUCCUCAUCUACUGCUGCAUCUGCAACGUUAAGGCAUGAAUUCAGCCUGUGUCGGGUGUACAAGAAAUCAA
RNAcentral lists this unclassified non-coding RNA (558 nucleotides) under Hevea brasiliensis (rubber tree). The record is from RNAcentral. Lineage: Eukaryota; Viridiplantae; Streptophyta; Magnoliopsida; Malpighiales; Euphorbiaceae.